This 1490-nucleotide ribosomal RNA is filed under the name Crinia nimbus. RNAcentral describes it as "partial 16S ribosomal RNA". It matches the Rfam family "Bacterial large subunit ribosomal RNA", at positions 150 to 2597 of the family's 2925-position model. Lineage: Eukaryota; Metazoa; Chordata; Amphibia; Anura; Myobatrachidae. The record is from RNAcentral.
UAAGCAUACCGGAAGGUGUGCUUGGAAACGAAGCAUAGUUUAAUAAAACCCCCUGCUUACACCAAGAAAUCACCCGUGAAACUCGGAUUGCUUCGAGCCUAAAUUUUAGCCGUAACACACCUAAUGAACUCUCUCCACCACAAAUUUUCCCCUAAAACAUUCUAACACUCAAGUAAAGGUGAUUGAAAAACUUCUUAGAGCUAUAAACAGUACUGCAAAGGAACAUUGAAAUAGAAAUGAAAUAAUACAAAAGCCCAACGUAGUAGAGACCCCCCCUCGUACCUUUUGCAUCAUGAUUUAGCAAGUCUAAGCAAGCAAAAAGAACUAUAGUUUGCCCCCCCGAAACCAAGUGAGCUACUCCAAGGCAACUAGUAGAGUCAACCCGUCUCUGUGGCAAAAGAGUGGGAAGACCUUUGAGUAGAGGUGAUAAGCCUAUCGAACUUGGUGAUAGCUGGUUACUCAAGAAACGGAUAUUAGUCCGACCUUAAGCCAACAUGACACAACCUAGUACCCCCCACGCUUAAGAGUCAGUCAAAUAAGGUACAGCUUAUUUGACACAGGAUACAGCCUAAGCCCCGGGGUAAUGAGCCCACCCUGUGACCAAGUGGGCCUAAAAGCAGCCACCUUAAAAUAGCGUCAAAGCUUAUUCACUUAAACACCCUAAUACCUCGCCCGCCACAGAACCCCCACCCACCACCGAGUGACCCCAUAAUUAUAUGGGAAACAUUAUGCUAGAAUUAGUAACGAGAGGGUUCAACCCUCUCCUAAGUGUGUGUGUAAAUCAGAGCGGACCCCCCACUGAUAAUUAACACCCGUAAAACCGUGGCAGCAACCUACAAGAAAACCCUGCCCCCAACUAACGUUAACCUGACACAAGAACACUUCAAGAAAGAUUAAAAGGGCAGGAAGGAACUCGGCAAAAAUCAACCCCGCCUGUUUACCAAAAACAUCGCCUCUUGACACUAUAAGAGGUCCAGCCUGCCCAGUGACUCUGUUCAACGGCCGCGGUAUUCUGACCGUGCGAAGGUAGCGUAAUCAUUUGUUCUUUAAUUAAGGACCAGUAUGAAUGGCACCACGAAGGUUGUACUGUCUCCCCCCCCUAAUCCGUGAAAUUAAUCUUCCCGUGAAGAAGCGGGAAUAAAAAUAUAAGACGAGAAGACCCCAUGGAGCUUGAAACAAAAAGCACCCGUAACCACCAAGUUUCACGCACUGUCUCAUAGUUUUCGGUUGGGGCGACCACGGAGAACAAUUUAACCUCCACGCUGAACGAUUUUAUAUCUUAACCAAAAGUUUACCACUUUAAGCAUUAGUAUUCUAACAACCAUUGACCCAAUAUAUUGAUCAACGAACCAAUGUUACCCUGGGGAUAACAGCGCAAUCUACUUCAAGAGCCCCUAUCGACAAGUGGGUUUACGACCUCGAUGUUGGAUCUGGGUACCCAAGUGGUGCAGCAGCUACUAACGGUUCGUUUGUUCAACGAUUAAAACCCU